Long non-coding RNA from Cygnus atratus (black swan), 250 nucleotides. RefSeq lists it as uncharacterized. The record is from RefSeq and is a predicted model, not a curated record. Lineage: Eukaryota; Metazoa; Chordata; Aves; Anseriformes; Anatidae. The transcript has 3 exons.
GAAACGCGCAAUUCUUGAUUGUUUGGACUACCAAGGAAAAUGAGGAUGGAAAGGACAAAAGGCGAGAAUACAUAUGUGUCCCAUAUCUUCUUAAUGGUUUCCUGAAGACUUCUGAGUUGAUUCGAGUAGUGUACAGGAGAUGGAAAUCAGGUGAAGUGCUGCCUGAGGAGCCAGAUGAUCCCAGGUGCGUAAGUGGAGCUGGAUGUGACCUAAUGCUUCUUCCAGACUGAAGACUUGCUCUAUGGGCUGC